This 375-nucleotide ribosomal RNA is filed under the name uncultured organism. RNAcentral's name for it is "bacterial SSU rRNA". It matches the Rfam family "Bacterial small subunit ribosomal RNA", at positions 526 to 896 of the family's 1533-position model. The record is from RNAcentral.
CGGGGGGAGCAAGCGUUGUUCGGAUUUACUGGGCGUAAAGGGCGCGUAGGCGGCCACGACAAGUCACUUGUGAAAUCUCCGGGCUUAACUCGGAACGGUCAAGUGAUACUGUCGGGCUAGAGUGCAGAAGGGGCAACUGGAAUUCUCGGUGUAGCGGUGAAAUGCGUAGAUAUCGAGAGGAACACCUGCGGCGAAGGCGGGUUGCUGGGCUGACACUGACGCUGAGGCGCGAAAGCCAGGGGGAGCGAACGGGAUUAGAUACCCCGGUAGUCCUGGCCUUAAACGAUGAAUGCUUGGUGUCUCGGGUUACAUAGUCCCGGGGUGCCGUCGCUAACGCUUUUAGCAUUCCGCCUGGGGAGUACGGUCGCAAGACUG